AAACCAGCACCUCAAGUGGUCAGGAGGAUUAUUGGGCCUAAAGCAUCCGUAGCCUGCUCUGUAAGUUUUCGUUAAAUCUGUACGCUCAACGUACAGGCUGCCGGGAAUACUGCAGAGCUAGGGAGUGGGAGAGGUAGACGGUACUCGGGAGGAAGUGGUAAAAUGCUUUGAUCUCUCGAUGACCACCUGUGGCGAAGGCGGUCUACCAGAACACGUCCGACGGUGAGGGAUGAAAGCUGGGGGAGCAAACCGGAUUAGAAACCCCAGUAGUCC
This 273-nucleotide ribosomal RNA is filed under the name uncultured bacterium. Its description in RNAcentral is "partial 16S ribosomal RNA". It matches the Rfam family "Archaeal small subunit ribosomal RNA", at positions 473 to 747 of the family's 1478-position model. The record is from RNAcentral.